UAAUCUAUAUAUAUAAAAAUCAAUUGCUGUUCCUUUGUCUCGCUAAAACUCGAGAACGGCUGAACGGAUUUAUCUUAUCUUGGUCUUGAAUUAUUCGUAGAGGUCUAGGGAAGGUUUAAAAGGUGAGAAAAUAUCAAAUAAUUGACGGAAAAGCCCUAAAAACAGCCCUUUUCUUUAUCCCAUACAAACAUUUUCUAACUAAUACGUAGAGUCAAUUUGAGCUUUAUUGCUAUUGGAUAAAGUUCAUUGUUGGAUAAAUGCUAUUGGAUACUAAAAAACAAAUGCUAUUGAAUAAGACUUGGAGCACAGAAUCCCUACUAAUAUUAUAAAUGCGAAAGUAACUCUGUCUGUCUGUAAUUACGCUUUCAAGCCUAAACCAGUGAACCGAUUUUGAUGGAAUUUAGUACUGAGAUAGAAUAGACCUUGAUACUUUUUAUUGCAAAAUAAAAGCGGAGAAUGGGUAAAAAUAAGGGAUAAAUGGUCAUAUGGAAAUUCGUCAUUUUAAAAGCUGUAACAGUAAAACUUUGUAUUUAGAUACUUAAUGAGGAACGAAAGAACAUGGUCUACUUUUUAUUGCAAAAAAUAGGGGAGAGUGGGUAAAAAUAGGGGAUGAAUGGUCAUAUGGAAAUUCGUCAUUUUUAAAGCUGUAACAGUGAAAUUUUGUAUUUAGACACUUAAUGAGGAGCGAAAGAACAUAGGCUACUUUUUAAUAAAAAGGGUAGAAGGCAUAGUAUGUUUAAUAGAGGAGAUUAAUGUUUACUUGAAAAUUCGUCAUUUUCGUUAAUACGUUGCCUGUGGCUUCACUCGCGUUCGAUUCUUAUUUAAAUACACAUAUACUUAUUUAAAUCGCCAAUAUCCCUACUACCAUACUAAUGUUAUGAAUGCGAAAGUAAUCCUGUUUGUGUUGAGGUUACGCUUGCACGUAUGUUUUUUUUUUGGAAUAUAACAACGAAACAAUGUAUUUUUUUAUUGAUAGGCAAUAUAUAGGAAAUUAAAGGAUAAUAAUAUAGAUAUGGCGGUCGUGGUUUCUUUGGAAUACAUAUCUUUAAAAAUGCUAACAGCAACAUAUUCUUAAGUAAUUCACAUUUUAGAUGACAUACGGCAGCAUUUUGACCACUAACACCACUACGCGGACGAAGUCGCGGGCAAAAGCUAGAUUCGAUAAAUUUUCAUUUGUACAUGUCAAAUAUUUGUUGUUUCUAAAUUCAAAUUCUGUAAAUAAUGAUUGACAUUUAUGCAUAAACUAUGAAAAGGGUGAAUAAACAAUUGUCUGUAUUUUUUUUUAAUCUAUUGAAAAUGUUGAAAAAUGCAUUAAGCAUUAAUAGAAAUUCCUCAAAUAUUAAUUAUGCAUGCGUUCAGAAAUAAUGACAAAUGAUCAACAGUUACGCGUGUGUUCAGAAAUUUAUUUUGUGUAAAUUAAAGUUUCUAUUCACGUUUUCGAACAAACGAUACUCUUUCAAUAUAGUCUAUUGGUGUGAAUGACAUUGACAUUCGUAUUGCGCGUUUUUUAAAAUAUGCAAAAUUAAAUGUAUAUUUUUCAAUAUUUCUGAGAGAUUUUCUUAAUAUUUCUUCGAGUUUUAAAGACUAAGAAGAUUUUUAUUUGCUAAUAAGUGUUUGUUAAUCAAGUUGGAAUUUCGUUUUUAACAAUGCUACCAACCAGACGUACAAGCUUAGGCCGCAGAACUCGAAAUACGGCAAGUCAAAGAAAUAUAAGAGCAAAUCAAACUGAUGAGCAACGCGAAGCGCGAAAUGAACUUGAACUGAAUCGAUAUCAAGAUAGAAAUGUUGUGUUUAAUCCCCACAAAGCUGCAUUCAGUUAUAAUGUGGCAAUUGAUUACAGUUCAGAGCAAAUUGUUGCUAUUGGACUAAUGAACAUUGUGUGUCCACAUUGGGAUUGAAAUUAAAAAAUGAAGCCCCUGGAUUGUGUUGCACCAGCGGUCAAAUUGACGCCAUUGGUACCGCCACCAGAGCCACUACAUUCAUUGGUUCAUUUUUUGACUCAUAUCCAGCAGUACAAUAAUUGCUUUCAAAUGACAUCAUUUGGGGCAACAAAAGUUAUACGAGACAAUUUUUUGCCUACUUUUAGCAAAUUCAGGGAUUCAAAUAUAUCAUCAAACAGGUUCCUUAUUGCCAGUGCCUGUUGAAGACUAUACAUUUUUGCAAAUAUAUUUUAUGGACAAUUCAGCAAGAGAAGUCGUUGCGCACACAACAACUCAGUAAAGAGAUCCAUUGUGAUGAACAACUUCAAACAUUUUUCCUUCAACACAAUAAAUUAGUUGCAUUAGACCGAUGCAUUAGACAUUCACAAAUGCAUUAGAUCGCAUGCCAUCAGAUAAUCACAAAAUUGUCAUCAGAGCCGAUAAGGCGCCUGCAGGACAGUGAAAUGAUUGAAUCCUAUGAAAUAAACACUAUUAUGAAAAUAUAUUUUGUUUUUUUUUUUAAAUUAGUAAAGUCCUUUUCAGGUAUAGUGAGAUCAGGAAAUUAUGGAUUCAUUUUUAUAUGGAGGAUAUUUAUAGAUUCCAAUUCAAAUUGAAUAGGGACUCAUGUAUAACUCAGCUAUA
Long non-coding RNA from Spodoptera frugiperda (fall armyworm), 2561 nucleotides. RefSeq lists it as uncharacterized. The record is from RefSeq and is a predicted model, not a curated record. The transcript has 3 exons. NCBI's taxonomy places the organism in Eukaryota, Metazoa, Arthropoda, Insecta, Lepidoptera, Noctuidae.